AAUGCCUCUGAAUUGUUCACUUUAAGAUGGCUGUUUUUAUGUUGUGUGAAUUUCACCUCAAAAAAAUUAUUCCUUUCUUUUCAACGAAAAUGGAGCGUUGACUGUGUUUCACAUACUGUUGAAUGUCCUGGGGACAUAUUGACGAGGAAGACGCCCAAGAUGCCCACCCCACAGAGCAUAAGGUCUAGUGAAACAUACAGGUACACAGUUGUAUAUUCUUCGUUGUGGGUCCUUCUAGUUGUGGCGUGUGGGAUGCUGCCUCAGCAUGGUUUGAUGAGCAGUGCCAUGUCUGUGCCCAGGAUUUGAACCAACGAAACACUGGGCCGCCUGCAGCGGAGCGCACGAACUUAACCACUCGGCCAUGGGGCCAGACCCCAUUUUAACCAUUUUAAAGUGUACAAUUCAGUGGCAUUUACUACAUUCACAGUAUUGGGCAACCAUCACCAUUAUCUGGCUCCAGAACAUUUCAGCACCCCAAAAGGGAAAUUCUGUACCCAUCAGCAGUCAGUCCCAAUGCCUCCCAACUCCUGGCAACCACUAAUCUACUUUCCAUCUCUAUGCGUUUGUCUGUUCUGGACAUUUUGUAUAAAUGGAAUCAUAUAUUAU
This 606-nucleotide long non-coding RNA is filed under the name Equus caballus (horse). Its description in RNAcentral is "lncRNA (ENSECAG00000055408.1)". Lineage: Eukaryota; Metazoa; Chordata; Mammalia; Perissodactyla; Equidae. The record is from RNAcentral.